This 614-nucleotide ribosomal RNA is filed under the name uncultured cyanobacterium. RNAcentral's name for it is "bacterial SSU rRNA". It matches the Rfam family "Bacterial small subunit ribosomal RNA", at positions 122 to 770 of the family's 1533-position model. The record is from RNAcentral. Lineage: Bacteria; Bacillati; Cyanobacteriota.
GAAUCUGGCUUCAGGUUCGGGACAACAGUUGGAAACGGCUGCUAAUACCGGAUGUGCCUUAGGGUGAAAGAUUUAUCACCUGAAGAUGAGCUCGCGUCUGAUUAGCUAGUAGGUGUGGUAAGAGCGCACCUAGGCGACGAUCAGUAGCUGGUCUGAGAGGAUGAUCAGCCACACUGGGACUGAGACACGGCCCAGACUCCUACGGGAGGCAGCAGUGGGGAAUUUUCCGCAAUGGGCGAAAGCCUGACGGAGCAAUACCGCGUGAGGGAGGAAGGCUCUUGGGUUGUAAACCUCUUUUCUCAGGGAAGAAUGAUGACGGUACCUGAGGAAUAAGCAUCGGCUAACUCCGUGCCAGCAGCCGCGGUAAUACGGAGGAUGCAAGCGUUAUCCGGAAUGAUUGGGCGUAAAGCGUCCGCAGGUGGCAGUUCAAGUCUGCUGUCAAAGACCGGGGCUUAACUUCGGAAAGGCAGUGGAAACUGAACAGCUAGAGUAUGGUAGGGGCAGAGGGAAUUCCUGGUGUAGCGGUGAAAUGCGUAGAGAUCAGGAAGAACAUCGGUGGCGAAGGCGCUCUGCUGGACCAUAACUGACACUCAGGGACGAAAGCUAGGGGAGCG